AGUGAAGCGGGAAAAGCUCAAAUUUAAAAUCUGGUGGCCUCUGGUCAUCCGAGUUGUAAUUUAGAGAAGCGUCUUCCGCGCUGGACCGUGCACAAGUCUCCUGGAAUGGAGCGUCAUAGAGGGUGAGAAUCCCGUCUUUGGCACGGAUCCCGGGGCUUAUGUGAUGCGCUCUCGAAGAGUCGAGUUGUUUGGGAAUGCAGCUCAAAAUGGGUGGUGAACUCCAUCUAAAGCUAAAUAUUGGCGAGAGACCGAUAGCGAACAAGUACCGUGAGGGAAAGAUGAAAAGCACUUUGGAAAGAGAGUGAAACAGUACGUGAAAUUGUUGAAAGGGAAACGCUUGAAGUCAGUCGCGUCGUCCGAGACUCAGCCUCGCCUCGGCUUGGUGUACUUCUCGACCGACGGGUCAGCAUCAAUUUUGCCCCUUGGAUAAUGGCGAGGGAAAUGUGGCACCUUUGCGGGUGCGUUAUAGUCCCUCGUCGCAUGCAAGGGUCGGGAUUGAGGAACUCAGCACGCGCCUUUUGGUGUCGGGGCUUUGCCCACGAUACGUGCUUAGGAUGUUGGCGUAAUGGCUUUAAACGACCCGUCUUGAAACACGGACCAAGGAGUCUAACAUGCCCGCGAGUGUUCGGGUGGAAAACCCGUGCGCGCAAUGAAAGUGAAAGUUGGGACCUCUGUCGUGGAGGGCACCGACGCCCGGACCAGACCUUCUGUGACGGAUCUGCGGUGGAGCGUGUAUGUUAGGACCCGAAAGAUGGUGAACUAUGCCUGAAUAGGGUGAAGCCAGAGGAAACUCUGGUGGAGGCUCGUAGCGAUUCUGACGUGNCAAUCGAUCGUCAAAUUUGGGUAUAGGGGCGAAAGACUAAUCGAACCAUCUAGUAGCUGGUUCCUG
This 889-nucleotide ribosomal RNA is filed under the name Russula nana. RNAcentral describes it as "LSU rRNA". It matches the Rfam family "Eukaryotic large subunit ribosomal RNA", at positions 92 to 960 of the family's 3401-position model. Lineage: Eukaryota; Fungi; Basidiomycota; Agaricomycetes; Russulales; Russulaceae. The record is from RNAcentral.